GACGGCUUGGAGCAAUGGUAGCGUAUUCGACUACAGAUCGUAAGGUUGGGCGUUCGAUCCGCUCAGUAGUCA
This is a non-coding RNA of Angiostrongylus costaricensis, 72 nucleotides long. The record is from Rfam. Lineage: Eukaryota; Metazoa; Nematoda; Chromadorea; Rhabditida; Metastrongylidae.